This 263-nucleotide unclassified non-coding RNA is filed under the name plant metagenome. Its description in RNAcentral is "partial contains small subunit ribosomal RNA, internal transcribed spacer 1, and 5.8S ribosomal RNA". The stretch from base 1 to 54 matches the Rfam family "Eukaryotic small subunit ribosomal RNA", at positions 1778 to 1831 of the family's 1831-position model. The record is from RNAcentral.
GGAAGUAAAAGUCGCAACAAGGUUUCCGUAGGUGAACCUGCGGAAGGAUCAUUAUUGAAUGAAACACUUCUGGCUUUAUGCUGUUGUGCUGGCCCUUUGGGCAAUGUGCACACGGCUCUGGUCACUUGUUUCUUCUGUUCCACCUGUGCACUGCCUGUAGACACGCUGUGUCUAUGAUAUUUGUUAACACACAACAAUGUUAGUUGGCAUGUUAUAUAUAAUAAUAAAAUAUACAACUCUCAACAACGGAUCUCUUGGCUCUC